Long non-coding RNA from Apis mellifera (honey bee), 401 nucleotides. RefSeq lists it as uncharacterized. The transcript is spliced from 3 exons. NCBI's taxonomy places the organism in Eukaryota, Metazoa, Arthropoda, Insecta, Hymenoptera, Apidae. The record is from RefSeq and is a predicted model, not a curated record.
AAUUGUUAAUUUUUUAUAAUUAAUACUUCACUGUUUAAUGAUAAUUUAUUGUAAAAUUUUUUAUUAUUUCGAAAAAAUCACAAUUACAAACGAUCAGACAUAGUUUAUCGUGCCGUUUGCAUUUAAUCUUUCUUCAUACAUAUUUGUAAGAAAUUUUGACACAUAACUACAAUUUUUUUAUCGAAAAUAUAACUUCAUUUCGUAGAUAUAGAUCAUUAGAUGAUUGCUGCAACGACUUAGAAGAUGGAAAAAGAAUUAUCAAAUAUAGACGCCAUGAUAAUUGAUGUUUUAGAGAUUAAAGCACAAAGUUAUCCGGCAGUCAGUUUGGCAGUGAUCAACAGUUGAUGGAUGCCUUCUUCACCGCGGCCAGAGUAGCACUGAUAUGAACAGACACAUCGAUA